This 397-nucleotide ribosomal RNA is filed under the name Clostridium sp. DJ-A7. RNAcentral's name for it is "bacterial SSU rRNA". It matches the Rfam family "Bacterial small subunit ribosomal RNA", at positions 24 to 432 of the family's 1533-position model. RNAcentral also lists the same sequence under 1 other name. Lineage: Bacteria; Bacillati; Bacillota; Clostridia; Eubacteriales; Clostridiaceae. The record is from RNAcentral.
UCAGGAUGAACGCUGGCGGCGUGCCUAACACAUGCAAGUCGAGCGAUCUCUUCGGAGAGAGCGGCGGACGGGUGAGUAACGCGUGGGUAACCUGCCCUGUACACACGGAUAACAUACCGAAAGGUAUACUAAUACGGGAUAACAUAUGAAAGUCGCAUGGCUUUUGUAUCAAAGCUCCGGCGGUACAGGAUGGACCCGCGUCUGAUUAGCUAGUUGGUAAGGUAAUGGCUUACCAAGGCAACGAUCAGUAGCCGACCUGAGAGGGUGAUCGGCCACACUGGAACUGAGACACGGUCCAGACUCCUACGGGAGGCAGCAGUGGGGAAUAUUGCACAAUGGGCGAAAGCCUGAUGCAGCAACGCCGCGUGAGCGAUGAAGGCCUUCGGGUCGUAAAGCU